GUCUUCGUAGUGCAGUUCCAAGCAUGUCUAGCUGGCUAUCGGAAAACCGGGGUUCAAAUCCCUGUGAGGGCA
Molecule: transfer RNA, 72 nt
Filed under: Stegodyphus mimosarum
Lineage: Eukaryota; Metazoa; Arthropoda; Arachnida; Araneae; Eresidae
Rfam family: tRNA
About the family: Transfer RNA (tRNA) molecules are approximately 80 nucleotides in length. Their secondary structure includes four short double-helical elements and three loops (D, anti-codon, and T loops).
Source: Rfam by way of RNAcentral